AAAAUGGAACAUUUUAAUAAAUAAAUAAAUAUUUGUAAAAAAAAAAAUGCAUUCAUUAUGUGACAAUAUUCACUAAAACAGUAAAACUUUUACAAUAUUACAAAAUUUAAAAUAUUACAAUUUAAAAUAACUGUUUUCUAUGUAAAUAUAUGUUAAAAUGUAAUUUAUAGCAGUGAUCAAAGCUACAUUUUCUAAAUAAUCACUUUCCAGUGUCACAUCAUCAUUCAGAAAUAUGCUGUAAAAGUGUUCACAAAAAGAAAUUAAAUAAACAAAAAUCACCCUACCUUUCUGGAAUAAUGUAUAGAAUUUAUUCUGAUAACUUUUAGGAGUACAAUAGCAUUUUAGUUUUACUAAACCUAGUUAGUGUCACAUUAAACAUUAUUUUUAUUGUUUUAAUGCACAAAUAUUAAUUCCCUCUAUUUCAGAAUGAAGAAAUGCAAAAGUACGGAGCAGCUUGACAACGAUAACACACAGUCGGCAGAUAACAGCAGCGCUGAUGCUUCACCGCAGGAACAGAGUCUGAAGAAGAAACAGGCGGCUACACUGGCCAGCAUCAGAGAACUGAUCAGUCAGGUACACACUGACCCUGUCUUCUGUCCUACAACACACUCCUGUCUGAAUCUGAGUGUGCACAUUACACACAGCCGCUCCGAAGCAUGGGAACUAAGAUUUCUGCAGAAGAAAGUUAUCAUUUAAUUCAGCA
This 703-nucleotide long non-coding RNA is filed under the name Carassius auratus (goldfish). Its description in RNAcentral is "lncRNA (ENSCARG00000004252.1)". Lineage: Eukaryota; Metazoa; Chordata; Actinopteri; Cypriniformes; Cyprinidae. The record is from RNAcentral.